GACGAACGCUGGCGGCGUGCCUAAUACAUGCAAGUUGAGCGCUGAAGGUUGGUACUUGUACCAACUGGAUGAGCAGCGAACGGGUGAGUAACGCGUGGGGAAUCUGCCUUUGAGCGGGGGACAACAUUUGGAAACGAAUGCUAAUACCGCAUAAAAACUUUAAACACAAGUUUUAAGUUUGAAAGAUGCAAUUGCAUCACUCAAAGAUGAUCCCGCGUUGUAUUAGCUAGUUGGUGAGGUGAAGGCUCACCAAGGCGAUGAUACAUAGCCGACCUGAGAGGGUGGUCGGCUAACUUGGGACUGGGACACGGCCCAAACUCCUACGGGAGGCAGCAGUAGGGAAUCUUCGGCAAUGGACGGAAGUCUUACCGAGCAACGCCGCGUGAGUGGAGAAGGUUUUCGGAUCGUAAAACUCUGUUGGUAGAGAAGAACGUUGGUGAGGGUGGAAAGCUCAUCAAGUGACGGUAACUACACAGAAAGGGACGGCUAACUACGUG
This 497-nucleotide ribosomal RNA is filed under the name uncultured bacterium. RNAcentral's name for it is "partial 16S ribosomal RNA". It matches the Rfam family "Bacterial small subunit ribosomal RNA", at positions 28 to 507 of the family's 1533-position model. The record is from RNAcentral.